Molecule: small nuclear RNA, 143 nt
Filed under: Takifugu rubripes (torafugu)
Lineage: Eukaryota; Metazoa; Chordata; Actinopteri; Tetraodontiformes; Tetraodontidae
Description: U4 spliceosomal RNA (ENSTRUG00000027421.1)
Rfam family: U4 spliceosomal RNA
About the family: U4 small nuclear RNA (U4 snRNA) is a component of the major U2-dependent spliceosome.
Source: Rfam by way of RNAcentral
GUAUUCCUGCCAGAGGCAGUAUCAUAGUCUAUGAAGUUCUACUGAGACGUGAUUAUUGCUAGUUGAAAACUUUACCCAAUACCCCCGCCUGGUUGAUUUGCAAUAUAAUCAGCUGUGGCAAUUUUUGAUGGUCUCCUUAGAGA